This 756-nucleotide ribosomal RNA is filed under the name uncultured bacterium. Its description in RNAcentral is "bacterial SSU rRNA". It matches the Rfam family "Bacterial small subunit ribosomal RNA", at positions 8 to 796 of the family's 1533-position model. The record is from RNAcentral.
AGAGUUUGAUCCUGGCUCAGAAUCAACGCUGGCGGCGUGCCUAACACAUGCAAGUCGAACGAGAAAGUGGAGCAAUCCAUGAGUAAAGUGGCGCACGGGUGAGUAACACGUGACUAACCUACCCUUGAGUGGGGGAUAACUUCGGGAAACCGAGGCUAAUACCGCAUAAUACCUACGGGUCAAAGGAGCAAUUCGCUUAAGGAGGGGGUCGCGGCAGAUUAGUUAGUUGGCGGGGUAAUGGCCCACCAAGACGAUGAUCUGUAUCCGGCCUGAGAGGGCGCACGGACACACUGGAACUGAAACACGGUCCAGACUCCUACGGGAGGCAGCAGUGGGGAAUUUUGCGCAAUGGGGGAAACCCUGACGCAGCAACGCCGCGUGGAGGAUGAAGUACUUCGGUACGUAAACUCCUUUCGAUCGGGACGAUAAUGACGGUACCGAGAGAAGAAGCCCCGGCUAACUUCGUGCCAGCAGCCGCGGUAAUACGAGGGGGGCGAGCGUUGUUCGGAAUUAUUGGGCGUAAAGGGUGCGUAGGCGGUUUGGUAAGUCUGAUGUGAAAUCUAUGGGCUCAACUCAUAGUCUGCAUCGGAAACUGCCGGGCUUGAGUAUGGGAGAGGUGAGUGGAAUUUCCGGUGUAGCGGUGGAAUGCGUAGAUAUCGGAAGGAACACCUGUGGCGAAAGCGGCUCACUGGACCAUAACUGACGCUGAUGCACGAAAGCUAGGGGAGCAAACAGGAUUAGAUACCCUAGUAGUCC